Molecule: long non-coding RNA, 341 nt
Organism: Rhipicephalus microplus (southern cattle tick)
Lineage: Eukaryota; Metazoa; Arthropoda; Arachnida; Ixodida; Ixodidae
Source: RefSeq, a predicted model, not a curated record
GGACUGGAGGCAUUCUGCAAGGUACACAUCUCGUGCAUGGAUUCACUGGUGGAUGGCGACACAGCGAAAGAGACGUACAUGCUGUACUCGCCUAAGGACUUCACUCCCGUUCAAUUCCAAGGCGUCAAAAAAAUUCUCGUAAAACAACAUUUCAUAAUAUCCUUUUGUGCCUUAUUUCGCUUUCUUUAAAUGGAGGUUUACGUAUCUCCUAGAGGGAAAGCAUUGUGUACUAGCUACGCAACCAUACCAAUAUGGAAAGUCAUAAAUUAUUUUUUGGUAGCACAUGUUACAGAAGAAAUUUGCAAGAUGGCGAACCAAUUAAAAAUCUGUCAUACCAAUUA